RNAcentral lists this ribosomal RNA (136 nucleotides) under uncultured Trebouxiophyceae. Its description in RNAcentral is "partial small subunit ribosomal RNA". It matches the Rfam family "Eukaryotic small subunit ribosomal RNA", at positions 1670 to 1804 of the family's 1831-position model. Lineage: Eukaryota; Viridiplantae; Chlorophyta; Trebouxiophyceae. The record is from RNAcentral.
CGCCCGUCGCUCCUACCGAUUGGAUGUGCUGGUGAAGCGCUCGGACUGGCUGCCAGUGGCGGUCUCCGCCACCUGUAGCCGGGAAGUUCGUUAAACCCUCCCAUCUAGAGGAAGGAGAAGUCGUAACAAGGUCUCC